GUCCAGACUCCUACGGGAGGCAGCAGUGAGGAAUAUUGGUCAAUGGGCGCGAGCCUGAACCAGCCAAGUAGCGUGAAGGAUGACUGCCCUACGGGUUGUAAACUUCUUUUAUAAAGGAAUAAAGUGAGGCACGUGUGCCUUUUUGUAUGUACUUUAUGAAUAAGGAUCGGCUAACUCCGUGCCAGCAGCCGCGGUAAUACGGAGGAUCCGAGCGUUAUCCGGAUUUAUUGGGUUUAAAGGGAGCGUAGAUGGUUUUUUAAGUCAGCGGUAAAAGCCGGGGGCUCACCCCCGGCGAGCCGUUGAAACUGGCUGUCUUGAGAUGUCGAGAGGUAUGCGGAAUGCGCAGUGUAGCGGUGAAAUGCUUAGAUAUUGCGCAGAACUCCGAUUGCGAAGGCAGCAUACCGGCGGCGAUCUGACGCUGAGGCACGAAAGCGUGGGUAUCGAACAGGAUUAGAUACCCGGGUACG
Molecule: ribosomal RNA, 467 nt
Filed under: uncultured bacterium
Lineage: Bacteria
Description: bacterial SSU rRNA
Rfam family: Bacterial small subunit ribosomal RNA
Source: RNAcentral